ACCAAGUCAUUGCAGGGGAGAGAGUCAAUGGCCAAGCCAGCCCAGGGGACACAGCCGAUUACUGAGUCCAGGAGAAAUAGUCGAUGACCUAGUCACCCUACGGCGGAGGGCUGAUAAAUGAUGACUGAGUCACUGCAGGGAGAAGAGCGGAUAACCAGGUCAGUCCUGCUGCCUGACAUCGUUCAAAGCCUGAAAACCAGCAUUCCAACGUCUGCGGCAAUAAGGCACAUUAGCCACACCCUUCAAGAGCCAAAGUGUCCUGGAUCCCUUCCCUAUGUUUCUCUUUGUUUCAACUGUGCACCAAAUGUGCUAAAAUCCAUUGCUUUUAAAUGAAUUCAAACAUCAUCACAGCACACUCUUCAGGAUGGAAUUCUGCAUCUACAACUUCUGCUCAGCCCCACAUACCAAAUACACACGUCUAUACAACUGGUCUCUCCGUGUUCUCUAUCAGCACAGAGCUCAACUCAGUGGGCGGGGGGCGGCGCGGGAUAUGCGGGAAACACAGCUACUAAGAGCUGGUUCAAGGCCAUUAAUUCACUUGUCAGCAAUUGAGCUUUUGGUUUAAUACCUUCCCCCCCGUUUUUUUCCACCUUCCUUUCCCCUUUCCUGUCGCCUGCAUUUAUUUGGCUAUGUAAACUCUUUUCCUGCAUUAUGUAAAUUUGUAAAUUGUGUUUCCUGCUUUCUUUUUUCUUUGCACUGACUCACACAUCCUUUUAUUAGCAUCCCUCGCAUAUCAACUUUCUAUUUUGCACUAUUUUCUGCCAAAGGCACAAAUCGCACGGCCCACACCUUUUCAGAGGGCAAGAAAAGUUGAGUGGUCUUUUUACUGAGGUUUUUGUGUACCAACUGCCCUCGAAGUACCUGUCUCUCAUUCUUAUCCUGAAAUGUGUAUGUCUGUGAUUAUGUAAGAAUAACGGGUCACCUCUUCAAAUAUAACUUACAGUUUGUUGACUCCAAAACUCAGGCAUUUAGCUCUCUUGCUGACGGACACUUGGUAGAUGUUUCCUCUAGUGUAAUAUAGCAAUAAACAUGCUUUCCAUUAACAAUAGAGGACCCCAAAAUUACUUAAAAAUCAAGCAAAUGUAUUACCUCACAUAACAAAACGUCUAGUAAUAAGGUGACUCCAGGAUAUACUGGUCUGCUCAAUUUUCUCCUAAUAGUACAUAUGUUUCAUUAAUUAUUAAGCUCAUGUGGAAUUUGCUUAUAAAUAUGGUUGGAUGUAAGAAGAUUUUUUCUUAAUUAUUCCAAAUAGACAGCUGAUGAUGACAGUCAUUUAUCAAAUAAACUAAUCUUAAUGUGUUUUGCCUUACUGAAUUCCACUGUUGGCUUGAUUACAUAUAUAUUUAAUAUAUAUUAUUUGUUACAUAGUUAAUAUUGACAUGUAUAUAUAUAUGCUUAGAUACUCAUACAUCUGUCAGCAGUAUCUUGUUUAAUAUAUCUCUCCACUUCUUCAGCUGUGGUAGUGUGAAAAUAGUACCUAUUUUAAUAAUUAAAAAUAUUAAAUAGUAUCUGCCUUAAUAAUAAUUAAAAUACAAUCUAAUUAACGGGAACUUUAAGUUUUGAUUUCUGGUAAAAUAUAUUUCUGUGUACACACAGACAUCACUGUACGAACACUGUUCUUUUUCAAAAAAGAUUAUUGGCCUAUGAAGAAUAGUUGGAUAGAUAUUGGCAUAUGAAGAUUAUUGGCAAAAAAUGAAUUGGCCCCUUUGGCAUAUGAACAAUAGUUAAUCCUUUCCUCUACUCCUCCCACUCUUUGGGAUUUUAUUGGCAUGCCUUCAAUUUGCGUAUUUGUCCUUUUAUAAAAUUAAAUAUUCAAAUCCUGGACAAUGGACUAUCUCUACAAACGCUCAGAGUUUUUAUUUUUGUACUUAGGAUUUUAUAGAUUUCUGCAUAUAUGUUCUCAAUCUUUCUUAUUCAAUUUAUUUCUAUGAAGUGAUCAUUAUCAGCAUUAUGAGGAGUUGGUAAUUUUCUUCAUUGUUUUCUAAGAAAUUAUUACCGUUGCAGAGAAGCAAAAAUACUGAUUUGUGUAAUUUAACUUGUAUUGAUGUUAUUUUAGUCUGUUAAGAUUGAUUUAAUUUCAGAUUGCUUUUACUUCUCUUCCAAGUAGACUGCAGAUAAAAGUAAUUUUGUCUCAUGUUCUCAUACUCAAAGAAAUUUUAUCAGGGACGCCUGGGUGGCUCAGUCGGUUAAGCAUCUGCCUUUGGCUCAGGUCAGGAUCCCAGGGUCCUGGGACCAGGCUCCGCAUCCGGCUCCCUGCCCAGCUCCCCUUGCUUGUGCUCUCUCUCUGACAAAUAAAUAAAUAAAAUCUUUGUAAAAAAAAAAAUAAAGAAAUUUUAUCAUCUUCAUUUGUUUUAUUAUCUAAAGUAAACAAAAAGAGUUUUAUAAUAGUGAUGAAAACUGAUGUCACCAUCCUGUACCCAAACAGAAUAGACACUUUCCAGAAUCACUAUUAGAGUUAAUUGUUAUUUUGGGUCAGUAGUAUUUACCAUGGAUAAGCAGUUUCUCCAUCUGUCUCACUUAGAUUUUUUUGUCUUUUUGUUUAAGUAGGCUCCACGUCCAAUGUGAAGUACAACAUGGGGCUUGAACUCACAACGGGAGAUCAAGUCCUAAGCGGAGAUCAAGAGUCAGAUGCUUAAUCGACUGAGCCACCCAGGCACCCCUAGAUUUUUUAUUGGUAAGGGCUGUGGUACUUACCAAAUCUCUACAUGACAUCUAUAGAUGUAAUUACAUGGAUAUGACUCACUUUUAAUUUUUAUUGUCACUCAUUAUAUUGAUAUAAUUCCUGAAGUUGAAACUUUUUUUCAUUUAUGAAAUUUUGAUUAUAUCAUUCUUUGGAGCUCUUACCCGUGUAAUGCCUGCCAACAUUUUAUAUGGAAUGUUUCACCUGUAUACAUAAAGAUAAU
RNAcentral lists this long non-coding RNA (2903 nucleotides) under Zalophus californianus (California sea lion). RNAcentral's name for it is "lncRNA (ENSZCAG00015018083.1)". Lineage: Eukaryota; Metazoa; Chordata; Mammalia; Carnivora; Otariidae. The record is from RNAcentral.